Molecule: ribosomal RNA, 119 nt
Filed under: Salmo salar (Atlantic salmon)
Lineage: Eukaryota; Metazoa; Chordata; Actinopteri; Salmoniformes; Salmonidae
Source: RNAcentral
GCUUACGGCCAUACCAGCCUGGGUACACCCGAUCUCGUCUGAUCUCGGAAGCUAAGCAGGGUCGGGCCUGGUUAGUACUUGGAUGGGAGACCGCCUGGGAAUACCAGGUGCUGUAAGCA